Long non-coding RNA from Bradysia coprophila, 171 nucleotides. Lineage: Eukaryota; Metazoa; Arthropoda; Insecta; Diptera; Sciaridae. The record is from RefSeq and is a predicted model, not a curated record.
AAAAAUUGGUUUAACUACUGUUCUUUUGCAGGGCCGGAUUUAGGAUUCUAGCGUCCUGGGCAUGUGACACUGAAGUAGUGAGUUAAUGAUCGCGAACGGAGCGAUCGGAAAGUUUUUGUGGUUUUCUAAUUUCAAAACAUUUGAUUUCUCACUUCUGAGCGCCUAAAUUUC